This 402-nucleotide ribosomal RNA is filed under the name uncultured prokaryote. Its description in RNAcentral is "bacterial SSU rRNA". It matches the Rfam family "Bacterial small subunit ribosomal RNA", at positions 355 to 774 of the family's 1533-position model. The record is from RNAcentral.
UAGGGAAUAUUAGAAAUGGACGAAAGUCUGAUCUAGCAACACCGCGUGUGCGAAGAAGGCCUUCGGGUUGUAAAGCCCUUUUUGGAAGGAUUAGGAAGGAAUGUACUUCCAGAAUAAGUCUCGGCUAACUACGUGCCAGCAGCCGCGGUAACACGUAGGAGGCAAACGUUAUCCGGAUUUACUGGGCGUAAAGCGCGUGUAGGUGGUUUUGUAAGUAGGGCGUGAAAGCUCCUGGCUCAACUGGGGAAGGCCGUUCUAAACUGCAGGGCUAGAGGAUGGUAGAGGGAGGUGGAAUUCCGGGUGGAGCGGUGGAAUGCGCAGAUAUCCGGAGGAACACCAGUGGCGAAAGCGGCCUCCUGGACCAUUCCUGACACUCAGACGCGAAAGCUAGGGUAGCAAACG